Molecule: long non-coding RNA, 262 nt
Filed under: Carica papaya (papaya)
Lineage: Eukaryota; Viridiplantae; Streptophyta; Magnoliopsida; Brassicales; Caricaceae
Description: long non-coding RNA (CPAP_LNC013664)
Source: RNAcentral
AACGAAAUUUUCUUUUACCUUUUUUGGCGGUCAGAGGUAGCUCUGGCAUGGCGGCGGGCGGCGGUCGGCUCCUUUCUCCAACGACUGGUUCUUCUUCUCAAGCGAGUUACUGGCGGCUAAGGUUAGGGUUCGGUGUGAAGUGAAAUAUUUAUACCUGUCUCUCUUUAAUCUGGAUCGUCCAUCGCGUGUUUAAAGAAAAAAUUAAUCUGGAUCAUUCAUUGUCAUUUGAUCUGGACCGUACGAUCGCCAUUUAAAAAGAAAA